ACUGUAUGCAAAUCAAGUUCAAAAGCCACAUUAGUCUUCAUUCAGUGACUUGAACUUCUAGGUUUUUUUUUUUUUUUUUUAGUUUUGUGAUCACUUUCAAAAUUAUGGUAAAUUUAAGCUCAAUAAUUUUUUUCACUGUGCCAACAGUAAUAACAGAGGAGAGUGUCUCUUAGGUGGUGACAUGCUGUCAUCUGUCUUGCUGUGAGCCCUUUUUUCUAUCCGUGACAUUUCACUGAUGUUUGGAAUUAGAAAUGUCUUUGAAAUUUUGCUGUGAAAAAUUUGCAAGUUUUUAAAAUUUUCACAGUAUAGGAUCAAGCAGACCUUUGUUUUGACAUCCCCGGUUAUUCCUUUCCUAGGCUUUCCUCUCUGGACAGCCACCUGUCUCUCUGUCUGCUAUUUUCAAUGGCAACUGUAAUCACUGCAUCUGUACGUGGUCAGGAUCUAUCUCUGCUCUGUUUCUCUGACAAUGAUAUCAUGUUCUAACAUGUUAGCCCAUAAUAUUUUUAUGUCAACCAAAAUUUGGCACUUGACUCUGGUGUUAUAUACAGUUGUGUUGGAUUGUGAAGUAAUUUUCUCGUUUUCUUCUUAAGAAAGAUCCGAGCAGGCACAAACUUGGAAGGGAGGAAUAGUUUUAUUGAAAUUCCAUGUACAUUCUCAGGCUGCUAACCCAAGGUCAACACACAGAUAAAACUGUCUUCUAGACCUCUGAAAACACAUUCCAGUUCCAAGGCCGGAGUAUCCACGUAUGGGAUUUGGCAAGUGCCCUAGGGCACCAGCCAACGGCCGGCGGCUGGGGCACAAAAGGGAAAGAGCACUCCUCCCGCUACUGCCACUAUGGUGCUGAAGAGACAGGUCCGCUUCAGUACCAUCAAUGUUUUGGACAGCCAGAGAGCACUUGGCUGCCAGGCGGGGCCACCGACACACACACGUCAAACGGCUAAUGAUCAGUGUGGCCACUCUCCACCAUCUAGCAGCCAACGAGAGAGUAUAAAAGGGCCAUCCUCUGCUAGCAAAGGGAGAGAGGGCUCCCGAGGCAUGCAUAAUAAUUUGUUUUGUGUUUCUUGCAGAGGAUUCAGAUGCGACGGAGGAUUUCACCCGGAUACCUAUUUUUCAUGCUAUCAGCCAUCGGCCGAUAGUUUAAAUCUAGUUUACAUCUGAUGAUCAGGGCCGAUUAUAUCCUGUCAAUAAAAAGAGGGCGGGAAAACACAUCGAUUUCAUGCUGUGUGUAAAGAAGAUGUCUCUUGUGUGGAACGACAACAAAACUGCAGAUUGUAAUCUCUGUAAGCUCUGCACUGCUAAAAUUUUACACCGGAAAUGAGCAGCAGUGAAGCAGAGGUUUCCGCGUCGAGUCCAGUUUAUUAUUAUUUUUUUAUCCCCGCGCUGUCCGCUCACCCUCGCGCUGAAUUAAAGCUCCAGUACACUGAUAAAAGAUUUAAAUGAAGAUGAGUUGACAAAAAGGUAUAUAUUGCACAGAAAAAUAUAUUUAUAGAGUAGUAUAUUUCAUAUACAGUUAACGUUAAUAUAUAAAAAAGUUUAUAUUAAAUAUUUCCAGUUUGAUGUUCAUUGAUGAAGUAGAAAUGCUUUUGUUUGUGGUGAGUGAAUGUGAGCCUAACAGGAGGUUCUUUUUUAGAAUUCGGUCAAUUAAUUCUGUUAAUAUGAAUUAAUAACAUUCAAUAAGUUACGAUAUCUUACUUUAAUCCUCAGAAUUUAGUUAAUGUGUUAAUGUUAAUUUGAGUAAUGUGUUUUCUGUUUAUGAGACCAGUUACUGUGAAACAGCUUGUUGAAAUGGAGAGAAUAAAGUUUUUAUUUGCAUUUCUUUCAGAAUUCUUUUAAAUGAAUUAUUAUAAUUUAUAAGGAGGCAUAAAAAGCAGAACUAUAGGUAUCGGCCAAUAUCACUCUGAAUAAUCGGUUAUCGUAUUGGCUGAAUUUAGUAAAUGAGUUUACUAAAUUUAGUAUUGGUGCAUCUCUUAUA
Ictalurus furcatus (blue catfish) is the source of this 1972-nucleotide long non-coding RNA. RefSeq lists it as uncharacterized. The record is from RefSeq and is a predicted model, not a curated record. The transcript is spliced from 3 exons. Lineage: Eukaryota; Metazoa; Chordata; Actinopteri; Siluriformes; Ictaluridae.